RNAcentral lists this ribosomal RNA (497 nucleotides) under uncultured bacterium. Its description in RNAcentral is "partial 16S ribosomal RNA". It matches the Rfam family "Bacterial small subunit ribosomal RNA", at positions 28 to 507 of the family's 1533-position model. The record is from RNAcentral.
GAUGAACGCUGGCGGCGUGCCUAAUACAUGCAAGUCGAGCGAACAGACGCGGAGCUUGCUCCUCUGACGAUAGCGGCGGACGGGUGUGUCACACGUGGAUAACCUACCUAUAAGACUGGGAUAACUUCGGGACACCGGAGCUAAUACCGGAUAACAUGUUGAACCGCAUGGUUGAACAGUGAAAGACGGUCUUGCUGUCACUUAUAGAUGGAUCCGCGCCGCAUUAGCUAGUUGGUAGGGUAACGGCUUACCAAGGCAGCGAUGCGUAGCCGAGCUGAGAAGGGGAAGCGCCACUCAGAGAGUGUAACGCGAUCCAGGGUCCGAGGGGAGGCACCGAUAGGGAAGCGACGGAGAAGGGGGGAAUCCUGACGGAGCAGCGCCGGGUGGAUGAAGAGGGGCUGCGGAGCGUAAGACGGUGUUAGUGUGGAAAAACAAAUUUGUAAGUAACUAUGCGCUUCGUGACGGUACCUGGACAAAAAGCCACGGCUAACUACGUG